RNAcentral lists this small RNA (981 nucleotides) under Histoplasma ohiense. RNAcentral describes it as "hypothetical lncRNA". Lineage: Eukaryota; Fungi; Ascomycota; Eurotiomycetes; Onygenales; Ajellomycetaceae. The record is from RNAcentral.
CGCCCGCGUGGUGCAGUUGGUAAGACUGUUACCCAAGGUAGCACUGUUAGAUGUGCUGUAGGUUCGAAUCCUGCUGCUGGCAAGGUCCCAUUUUGGGCCACUUCUUACCCAUGAAGGCCCCCGUGACCAGGGGCCAAGCCUAGUGAGGCAGUGCUGACAGAGGUGCUGCUUGGCAGUGAUGAGGGUGGUGGCCGCUGGAAGCCAUGCUCAUUAGUGCCAAGCAGCCCCCCUGUCACUAGUGCUGAUCUAAGCAAGAUUCAAUGAUUACAGAGAGUCGAGUAUAGGGUGCUUAUACAUACUAGCACCUGCCAAGGCCCCCGGCAUCUAGGGGGCCACCCCAACAACAGGGAAUGAUUUUAAAAACCAUCCAAUUGGCUGCCUCAUCAGAGGGGUAGUAGCAAGCCAAGCAGGACACCCUGAUAGGUGCUCUAUUCAGGGCCCACUAGUGGUCAUCUAACACUAUUAGUGGGUUAUCAUCGGGUGGGGUAAGCCUAUGGUUAGUCCCUUACACGGGGCAAGGCCACGACGGCCGGUUGGUAGGCCAAGGGGGCAAUGGGCCGAGAUCGGCAACUGGAAGCUCUGGGCUAUGGUGAUGCCUAGGGUGGGCAGUGGCGCUUAACUAGGACCCCCACUGGAAACCCCAGAACUAGUUAAAGCGGCCCGAGAGGACGGACGCGGUGGUCGGUUGGUUAUAGGGGUUAUAAUAUGUAACUAGCUUAAGGUGCAUCCUGCGUGGAAUAGCCACGUAGUCAUGUUUGCAAAAAUGGCAAGAUAUCUGGCUUAUGCAAAGAAAAAGUGUGCAUUACUCCAGAUUUGAAACAAAGCCAAAGUGGAAAACUUGUUCAAUAAAGUGUAAAAAGAAACCUUUUGCUACAAUAAUGCAGUUAAAGCUUGGACAUGAUUACUUCAAAUCAUAUUUAACAAAGUUUAGAGAUGAUUUAAGUAGUCUAUGUUUAGAUUGUCAGUUAUAUGAAAAUCCAG